GUCAGGGCAUUGCAGAGCUCCUUGAUGGAUAAUAGGUCCUCAGUUGAGGGCAGAUUGAACUCUGAUUCCAGCAAUAUCGAUUCAGAGAAUCCCACUGACGCUAACGGAUCCGAUGGACAGAGUGAUCCUCCUGUAGCUUCUGACACUGAGAGUGUGUCCUCCGGUAGUACUUCUGAGGCUAUUAGUAAUAUUGUUGGUGGUGGACUAGUACAACGUGGACAGCGUGGGAUAAUGGUGCCUGCGCGGUUCUGGCAAGAGACUAACAAUAGACUCCGGCGCCAGCAAGAGCCUGGCUCCCCAGUCUCCAAGACUGUCGGAUUGAAAGGGUCCGUACCAACUAAACUUGUUGCACCCAAGAAGCUUACUGAUACCCCAGUAUCUUCACCAAAAGGAGUUGUGAAUGGUAGGGGACAGUUGUCUCCUAUUCGUGGUGGAGCAUUACGGCCUGCGUCGCCCAGUAAGCUUGGUACACUGUCCCCAAUGAGGGGAGUGAGCCCAUCAAGGAUGAGGAAUGCUGCGGGAGCUGUGGUGAGUAGCAAUUUAAGCAAUAUGAAUAAUACGCCUUCAAUUUUGAGCUUUGCUGCU
RNAcentral lists this unclassified non-coding RNA (585 nucleotides) under Hevea brasiliensis (rubber tree). Lineage: Eukaryota; Viridiplantae; Streptophyta; Magnoliopsida; Malpighiales; Euphorbiaceae. The record is from RNAcentral.